CCUGACCUUGUGAUCUGCCUGCCUUGGCCUUCCAAAGUGCUGGAAUUACAGGCAUAAGCCACUGUGCCCGGCCCGGAUUUUUUCCAGAGAAGUAAACCAGGGGGAAAUUUGGAAAAAGACACACAAACCCAGACACCAACAUCUGGAAACCUGGGAGAAAGCCAUGUGCAGACGAAGGCAGAAACUGGGGUAAUGCUUCUACAAGCUAAGGAACACCAAAUGCUCCUGCAAGCUAAGGAACGCCAAAGAUUGCCAGCAAACCACCAGAAGCUAGGGGAGAGGAAUGGCACAGAUUCUUCCUCACAGUCCACAGAAGGAACCAAACCUACCAACACCUUUAUAUGGGAUGUCUAGCCUCUAGAACUGUAAAAUAAUAAAUUUAUGUUUGGCAGUCCUGGGAAACUAAUACAAUCAGUAUUCCAGUUGGGAGGUAAUUUUGAUUUUAAAUUUUAUUAUUUAUUAUUUUAUUAUACCUUAUAUUAAGUAAUUGUCAUCAUCUUCAUUCCCAAAAAGUCUAUGAGAAACAAUAGUUUUUUUUGAUGCAGUCCUAAAUUAAGGUCAAGUGAGGAAAUUAGGAUCACUGAGCCUUCAGAAGUAGCAUUUUAACAAGCUUAAUCUUUUUUUUUUUUUUUUUUUACAGCCCAGAGGUCUUUUAUUUAUUUAUUAACACCUGUUAUGCCAUGAAUUCAUAGGGAAUAGGUUCCAGCAGCUCAGGCUCCUUCGCAUUGGUUCUCACAAAGUGUGCUUCUCUGGGUGGAGCAGGCUGGUGCUUCUGUUGAACCCAGGUACCUUUCUAUUUGGCUUCCUUCUUUUUCUGAUCAUUUUCCUUCAUGUGUUUCAGGAAACUAUCUCAGCUUUUAGAGUGCUUAAUGUGCUCAAUACGCACAUUAAUUCUCUUGGCAAGAAUCUUGCCCUUAACUUGUGUGUUUACAACAAUGCCAACAGCAUGCUGGGGGACAUUAUAGACUCUUCCAGUUUUGCCAUGGUAACACUUGUGGGGCAUUCCUUUUUGAACAGUACCCAUUCCCUUGAUGUCUACAAUAUCACCUUUCUUAUAGAUUUGCAUAUACGUGGCCAAAGCAACAACUCCAUGUUUUCUAAAAGGCCUAGAGAACAUAUAUUGGGUGCCUCUCCUCUUUCCCUUUGUGUUCGUCAUUUUGGCGAAUUACUGGAAGAUGGCGGUUCCGGCUGAAAGGAACAAGCUUAAUCUUAAUGGAUAUUUUUUCUUAUUUUGGCUGAUGAUUCAUUAUGUUGAGUAGUGACUUAUUACUAUUUGUACUAAAAAAUGCAAAGAUAUACAACGUCAAAUACAUUUUAUUCUCCCAUGGAACUCAUAUUUGAAGAUGUUAUGUUCAAUUAAUCUAUAAAUGAACACUUUAAGACAGUGUGCUAAUUUAAUGCAGUCCAGUUUCUUCAACAAGUAAAUGGCAAAAAAAGAGACAGAGAUACCUUAAUGGAAUGAAAUGUGUGGACUUUGUUUCCAUCUUGAUUUGAACCAGUCAUAAAGAAACAUGUAUGAGACAAUCAGGGAAUCUGAACACAGACUGGGUACUUGAAGAUAAGGAGUUAUUUGCAAUUAAAUGCAACAACGUCAUUUAGAGAUACAUACUAAAUUGUUUAUGAAUAAAAAAGACAUGAUCUCUGGAA
Homo sapiens (human) is the source of this 1647-nucleotide long non-coding RNA. RefSeq lists it as uncharacterized. The record is from RefSeq and is a predicted model, not a curated record. NCBI's taxonomy places the organism in Eukaryota, Metazoa, Chordata, Mammalia, Primates, Hominidae. The transcript has 2 exons.